Molecule: ribosomal RNA, 500 nt
Filed under: uncultured bacterium
Lineage: Bacteria
Description: partial 16S ribosomal RNA
Rfam family: Bacterial small subunit ribosomal RNA
Source: RNAcentral
AUUGAACGCUGGCGGCAUGCCUUACACAUGCAAGUCGAACGGCAGCACGGGAGUAAUCCUGGUGGCGAGUGGCGAACGGGUGAGUAAUAUAUCGGAACGUGCCCAGUCGUGGGGGAUAACGCAGCGAAAGCUGUGCCAAUACCGCAUACGAUCUCUGGAUGAAAGCGGGGGACCGUAAGGCCUCGCGCGAUUGGAGCGGCCGAUAUCAGAUUAGCUAGUUGGUGGGGUAAAGGCCCACCAAGGCGACGAUCUGUAGCUGGUCUGAGAGGACGACCGGCCACACUGGAACUGAGACACGGGCCAGAAUCCUACGGGAGGCAGCAGUGGGGAAUUUUGGACAAUGGGCGCAAGCCUGAUCCAGCAAUGCCGCGUGCAGGAUGAAGGCCUUCGGGUUGUAAACUGCUUUUGUACGGAACGAAACGGCGAGCUCUAAUAAAGUUUGCUAAUGACGGUACCGUAAGAAUAAGCACCGGCUAACUACGUGCCAGCCGCCGCAGUAA